UACGAGGGAUGCAAGCGUUAUCCGGAAUUAUUGGGCGUAAAGCGUUCGUAGGUGGCUAAGUUAGUCUGUCGUUAAAGCGUGGAGCUUAACUCCAUAUCGGCGAUGGAAACUGCUUGGCUAGAGUAUGGUAGGGGUAAGAGGAAUUCCCAGUGUAGCGGUGAAAUGCGUAGAUAUUGGGAAGAACACCAGCGGCGAAAGCGUCUUACUGGGCCAUUACUGACACUGAGGGACGAAAGCUAGGGGAGCGAAAGGG
This 253-nucleotide ribosomal RNA is filed under the name uncultured bacterium. Its description in RNAcentral is "partial 16S ribosomal RNA". It matches the Rfam family "Bacterial small subunit ribosomal RNA", at positions 524 to 776 of the family's 1533-position model. The record is from RNAcentral.